Non-coding RNA from Rattus norvegicus (Norway rat), 11277 nucleotides. Lineage: Eukaryota; Metazoa; Chordata; Mammalia; Rodentia; Muridae. The record is from RefSeq and is a predicted model, not a curated record.
UGUGAACCUGAUCUAAUCAGGAAGCAGAUCUUCCGGGAAAUAUAAAAGUCCUAGCAAUGAAGCGCCUCAGACAUGGUUAACUUCUCUUUAGUGUCAGUUUCUAUUAUACUUAACAACAUCUUAACGUUGAUAUGAGGUAAUAAAAACAGCAAUGGAGCAGUGGUGGCUCAUGUCUGCAAUCCCAGCACUCAGGAGGCUGAAGCAGGAGGAUCAAAAUUUGAAGCUGUCUCAGCUACGUCUAAGGCCUUGAAGCCUGACAAUUUGAGUUCGAUCACCCAGACCCACACAGUAGAAGGGGAGAAACAACACCGGCGAGCUGUCCUCUGGCGUUCACACACUCAUGGUGGCAUAUGGGACCCCACACACAAACGUAACCAAAAAUUAAUAGAAAUUAGGCCAAACACAGGCUUCACAUGACCUGGGCAUGGUUAAUAAAUGCUGGGGUCUCAUUAACCCAUUUGAGCUGGACUCCUCUAUAAAAGAAAACCUAUGGGAUAUUUCUCAUCUUACAGAGAAGAAAAGUUGAGGCAUAGAGAGGUUAAGAAACCUGCCUAAGGUCACACAGCUAUGACGUUAGUGGCAGAGGGCAGCAAGUCCAGAGGAUAAGGAGCAAGGGCAUUUAAUUAAGACAAGUUGGGGUUGACCAGCAGCAGAGAAAGCACGCAAGGCUGUAAGGAAGAGGCUCUACCCUGAAACGUCUGGGAAAGAAGGAAACCAGGUCAAGCAGUGCUGAGCAGUCCACAGGUGGGGUUCAGCACAAUCAUUUGUCAAACGACACAGCUGUACCCUGGGCCUCCCUAGUAAUACUAUCCAGGGAUUGUGGGCUCCGGGCCUCUUGGAUCUGGUGCCCAAUUGCCUCCUCCAAUUUCAGUCCAGGAAGCAUUGCUAGCCUGGCCUCACAGGUCCUCCAGAGACAGCCUGAGUGGUAACUGGGACUCACCUUCACCUCGGCAGAAGGAGGCCCCUGUCUUGCUCAAUUCUGUGCCACGCCCUUCCUGAACCCUGAGGCAGAGACCAUAUCCUGAUUGCUUUUACUUCCUCCACCUAGACAAGCCUGGCCGACCUCCAUCUGUCUCUAGACUGCUGAGUCAGGGGAAGCAGGCUGGGCAGCGGGGCACCCCGUUCCUUGGCACAGACAUUCUGCAAUUCCCAGGGUACUCUGCUGGCAGUCAGGGGUCCCUCCCUUGGCUUGAGUCUUCUCUUAAACAUUUUCAUGUACGUAUGCAAGAUUAUGCUGGACAGUUUUGCAUCUGACACCGACUAGAGUCGUUUUGAAAGAGAGAACCCCCGUGAGAAAAUGUCCCUGCCAGAUUGGCCUAUGGGUAAGGUUCCUGCCUUCAGGUUUUUGCCUUGAGUUCCUGCCCUGGCUUCCCUGGAUGAUGAACUACAAACUCUGUGAGAUGAAAUAAACCCUUCCUUCCCCAGAUUUGCUUUUUUGGUAGUGGUGUUUUAUCACAGCAAUAAACUCCUGAGACAACAAUUAAAAAAAAUUAUUUGAAAAGCAGGACCUUUGUGGCACAUGAAUGUAACCAAAACUUGCAAAGCUGAGACAGGAGGAUUACAAAUUUGCGGCCGAUCUAGACUACAUAGUGGGACCAUAUCAUACUGGCUCAUACCUGUAAUCCCAGAACUUGAGAAGGAUGAGUCAGAGGCCAGCCUGAGUGGGCCAAGUGGUGUAUUCCAGGCCAGCCAGGUGCCCCUAAUCCCAGCACUCAGGUGGACCUCUGAGUCUGAGGCCAGUGUGAUCUUCAGAGAGGGGUCAGGACCGCCAGGGCUACAAAGAAACUCUGUCCUGGGGGGUGGGGGGGAUGUACGGAGAGAAACUUAAAAGUCUAUCAUGCGGGGUUGGGGAUUUAGCUCAGUGGUAGAGCGCUUACCUAGGAAGCGCAAGGCCCUGGGUUCGGUCCCCAGCUCCGAAAAAAAAGAACAAAAAAAAAAAAAAAAAAAAAAAAAAAAAAAGUCUAUCAUGCAUCACUUCUCCUGCCCAGGCUAGAGGGAACCUCUGUUCUGCCCCCAGGCUAGAGAGAACCUCUGGUCUGCUUUGGUAUCCUUUCUGAGGACACAGUGAGACUGCCCCCACAUGGCCGUGUGCCUUCUGUGUUGCUUCACUGUUUGCAAUCGAGUUUGUUUUUCUAGUGCUGCUGACAGGGGGCCAUGGCUUCUUACAUGCUAAGUGCACAGCACAGCCUGAACUGCAGCCCCAGGCGGCUAAGGGCUGUUGUCUUUCUCUUCAGAGAGCCAGGCAUGGUGACACACGCCUUUUGUUCCAGAACUUAGGAAGUAGAGACAAGCAGAUCUAUGUGAGUUCGAGGCCAGCCUAGUCUACAGAGAGAGUUCCAGGACAGUUAGGGCUACACAGAGAGACCUUGUCUUGAGAAACCAAACUAACAAAUAACAAAUGAAUAAACGCAUGUUGCUGCAGGAGUUCAGAGGACAGCCAUGGGUAUCAAUCCUCUCACCUUCUUCCAUGUUUGGUAUAGGGUCUCAUACUGCACUUGUGUGCCUGGACAGGAGGCCCAGGAGCUUCCAGAGAUUCUCUUGACUCUACCUUCCAUCUCCCCAGAACUCCAGGAUUACAGAUGCUCAGACUUCACAUCUGGCUAUUCUGGUGACUCAAACUCAUGCACUUGCAUGGCAGCCCGGCCUAGAACUUAUCACAUAGCCCAGCAUGGCCUCGGACUUGUGAUACGUCUUGGGACUCAGACUUCCCAAGAGCUGAGAUUGCAGGUGUGAGCCACUGGGUUGGUUUUGGUUUCAGGUUUCUAACAGAGUAUCGCUGUGUAGUCCAGAUUGGCAGCAAAUUUGCAAUCCUCCUGCCUGAGUUUCCCAGGCUCUGGUCACAGGGACAUGCCACUAAAGCCCUGCUUUUUAGCAUUGUGAGGUUUCUCCCCAGCCCAGCCUUGAUGUCUCCACUGUCUGGCUCUGUCUCUUCUCCAUUUACUCUCAUGAUUUUUGUUUGGUUUUGAGACAGGGUUUCUCUAUGUAGCUUUGGCUGUCCUGGAACUCACUCUGUAGACCAGGCUGACCUCAAACUCAGAGAUCCACCUGCCUCUGUCUCUGCCUCUGCCUCCCAAGUUCUGGGACUUAAGGCACCAGUACCUCCUGCCUUCAUUUCGUCUCCUGUUGAUGGAUGUGGGGACACAUUUGGAUCUUGUACUAUAAACUUCAAAGGCACAAGAUCUGGCUUCCUCGGGGGUUUUUUGUUGUUUUUGGCUUUUUGUUUAUUUGGUUUUUUUUUUUAAAUCAUUCCUAACAUCUCAGCUCAGCAUGGGGUGGGGGGCAUUCACAACUGUAGCCUCAGCAUUCAGAAGGCUGAGACAGAUGGUGAGUUUGAGGCUAGCCUUGGCUACAUAAAGACUCUAUUUCAAAAAAAAUGUAUUGAGUAUGAUAGCACAUGCAAAGGCAGGUGAAUCUCUGUGAGUUCUAGGACAUCAUGGUCUACAAAGAGAGUUCUAGGCCAGCCAGAGCUGUAUCUCUCUCUCUCUCUCUCUCUCUCUCUCUCUCUCUCUCUCUCUCUCUCUCUCACAUGCGCGUGCGCACACACACACACACACACACACACACACACACACACAAACUUAAUGGCAGGAGUAGUAAGUGGCUCAAGGCUGUAUUUCCAGCAUUUGGGAGGCAGAGUCAAGAGGAUAAGAAGUUUCAAGCAAGCUUAGGCUAAUUUAAAUAACAAGUUUCAGGCUAGAGUCCACUGUACAGUGAGGUCCUAUCUCAACAAACAAAAAUCAGGGUCAGCAAGUUGCUUUAACAGGCAGAAGCUUUUCAGUCAAGUUUCACAACCUGAAUUUGAUUCCAGGGACCUGCAUGGUAAAAGGAAAGAGUCAUCCUCUGACUUACACAUACACACACAUACACACACACAAAAUUCACACACACACACACACACACCACAUCAUACCUAUACACAUACCCACCACACAUAUACGCAUAUACAUGAACACAUAACACACACACAGGCACAGGCAAACACAUACAUCAGACACAUACGCACUAUAUGCACACCACAUAUACAUCACACACACACACUCACUAUACCACAUACACACCAAACAAACACACAAUUCACAUACCACAUACACACCAAACACACAUAAUUUACACACUCACACACACCAAACAGAUAGACACCAUACACAUACCACACACAUACACUCACACAUACAACAUCACAUACACAAUACACACACCAUGUAUAACACAUACAACAUAGACCACACACACACAACACACAUAUAUACACACUCACACACACUUACAUAUACCACACCACACACCCUGACAUAAACAUACCACAUAAAACACAUACACACUGACACAUACACAUACAUCACAUAUACCACACACACCAUACACAGCAUACACACACACACUCAUACAUAUGCCACACACUCUCACACACAUACACACACCACAUUUUAUACCACACACACUCACACAAACACACAUACCACACAUACUACACACAAGCACACACACACAUGUGCACACACACUGAAUAAAGUUUAAUUAAAUAUUUUUAACAAAUCAUAAAAUUCAUACAGGAAGCAGAGAGUGUAAAUUAAAUCUAGAGGUAUCAGGACAUAGCUGUGUUAGUAGAUCUUUCGUGCCCCAUGCAGGGAGCCCUAGGCACUAACCCCAAUCCUACAUAAACCAAAUUAAACCGAAUGUCAUGGCACAUGCCUAUGAUUCACAACUUGGGAGGAAGAAGAGGUGUAGUGAGAACUCUGGGAUUUUGGUUUCUUUAAAAACACAGAAAUAUUAUAAGAAUAUGGCUUCAUUUCAAUCCCAGGUUUGGGGCUGCUUCUAGCCAAGCCCGCUCAGUCAGUAAGGUCUCGAGGGAAGGAGUAAGGAUUAAAGACAGAAAAGACAAUUAGACAACAUUGUAGUAUGACUCCAGCAAGCUCUGAAGCAAGUUUAUUCUUUCCCACACUACUUUUAUACCAUGCUAAGUACAUGCAAGACAUUGGGUCAGUUCUUGGUCAAAGACAAACAAGGCAUAAACAAAAGUCCCCUGGAUCACUGUAUCCGGGGACUUAUCAAGAAGAUUGAGAUACAAGGAAUGCAUCCUCAACUGUAUUUAUCUUAAGCCUACUUUCUUGUCUUAGCCCAAUGUCAAAUAUUCUUGCUGAUAACCUUGAAGCAUCACCAAGAGCUCUCAUAUCUCUGUCUUUUUUCUUUUAUAAACAAGACUGCAUCUGUCUUAGGUUGUUCUGACAAGAAUGCCUUAAUUACCCAUCAUUGAAAAUGUGUUAUCCAAGGUAAUGCACAUAUGUCUUAGGUUGGUAAGGCUCUGUGCAGAAUCUCACAGUCACUGACUGCCAGCCUGUUAAACUAGUGGUUCUGUCUGGGGGAUACACUUUUAAGUUUCAAGCCACGUAUUUUGGUCUCUUAUCAAUGCUGUUAAAGGCAAGCUAUAUCAAAAUGGACAGGAAUAAAAGUAUUCCAGGCACAAGAAAGUUUAACAUGAUCAAAGUAUGUAAGCCAUUCUUUUUCUUUUACAGUUUUAUUUAUUUUAUAUUUAUAUGUUUUAUAUUUAUAUAAGUAUACUGUAGCUGACUUCAGACACACCAGAAGAUGGCAUCAGAUCUCAUCACAAGAUGGUUGUGAGCCACCAUGUGGUUGCUAGGAAUUGAACUCAGGACCUCAGGAAGAGCAGUCAGUGCUCUUGACCUCUGAGCCAUCUGUCCAGCCCUGUACACGCCAUUCUUGAAGCUUGACCAAGAUGAAAUACUGAACUUAAGUCAUAAAUAAUUUUAUCAGCAACAUCCACAUCAAAACUCAGCGAAGCAGCAUUCAUUAAAUUCAUAAUCUCAAUAUGCAAAGUUAAAAUAUCCAGAGAGGUGUUAGAAUUAUGCCAAAUACCCUGUGAGUUUCUUUGAAUUUUCUCCCAAUUAUAGUGACUGUAAAUUUUAGAAGUGACACAAAUCCAUUGGUAUUUAGCAUGACACUCAAGAUGGCUUCUUACUCUGAAACUCUGAACCUCCUCUCCAGUAAUUUGAAUAAUAUCAUAAGGAGCAUCAGUCCAUUGUUCCAAGCGCCUAUCUAAAUACUCAGAGUAUUAGUAACAUUUUUUGCUAAAUGAUUAAUAAAAGGGACUAUCUUAACUUCUUGCCUCAAAACAGAAGCAAUGACGUGCUAGCUAUUAAUGUAACCAAAGCUUCCUUACUGGUAAUAAUCAAACCCACUACCCUCUUGCUUCUACUUAAAGUCUGACUCACUUCUUCCAAAAUGUGUAAGCCUUUUUCAGGAUACCAGGUUUCAGGUAAAUUUACAGGGAUCAUAAUAAAAGCUGUUGGUGUACUACCAUUACAGUGCAGAAACACAAUUGGACAAAAGACAAAACAAGAAACACUGAACUCAUAUUCAGAGCCUACAACAAAGGAAACAUUCCUAAUUAGUAAAAGAUUAUGUGGUGUAAUUCAGGAUGUCACAUUUACCUUAACCCUAGAAACAGUUCCAUUCUUAGCCACAACAAACAUAACAUCAUUCAAGGCAGCUGUCAAUUUCCAAAUAUGUCUUUGAAAAUGCCCAGAACCAGCCCUCCCAAUGCCCACUGUCAUUUCCUUUCUUCCAAUAUUGGAUUGUUUUCCAGACCAGCCCCAUGAUUGAGUCAGAAUUACUGGUCACAUUAAAGGAAAGAGAAGGAUCAUUCUAACAACUUCUCUAUUUGAUUAAUUUUUCAAAGGCAGUUUCCACAGUCUCCAUGUCUGGGAUACAGGCAAGCAAAGGUGGGUCAGAAACACAGGCCCAGUACAGCUUAUUUGUCACCACUGUCAGGGCACUCGGCAAGCUCAUGGUUAGCAUCAUUCUUUGUCCCAGCAACAGCGUGUCUCACCAAUUGCUUUGGCAGCCACCACACUGCUUUAGCAUCCUGCAGGAAAAAGACACAAACAUGCCUUCUUCCCCAUAUUAAUCCCCAAUCAGGACUAUGCCAUAUGCCAGUAAGUGGAUCCUUCCAUAUCAUCUAGGCAUAAGAAUGCUGAGUUGUAGGGCACCAUAGACAUCAGCAGCAGAGAGGUCCUUAGCGUCCAAGGUCAAAAAAUUCAAAAUAGAAUUCUGUGGUGAAAGAGUAUACAACUCUCCCCUCUUCUGUUUUAUGUAACUGACUUUUUUAGCGCUCCAUGAGCUUGUUCCAGAAUUCUCUGUCCUUGAGGACACGUGCAUUAUAAAUAUAGCUAAUAGGGGUCUGUCUGACAACAGGAGUAGACUCAUGACUUUGAGACCUAGUAAAAGCUACCGGCUUGGGUUGAGAGGCACAGAACACAUUUUUCUCAGAAGACUAGAGAUACAGAUUGAACAUAUGUUUUUAGCAUGAUGAGAAGCAUCUUUAAGUUUGUAUUCAGAAGACCACCAAAGGGGAAUUAAAAUCUCGAGCUUGUGAUUGAACUGUAAACGGCCAAUGUUCCACUCGAUUUAUAUAUAUUUAACCAUAAUUUUUAAAAGUUUCUUUUGCAAUAUCAGAGCACAACCAUAAUUAUGGAAGGCAAAACCAAUUUUUAACAGUGUAAACGAUCCAGUCUCUCUAAAAAUCAAUACCAAGGGCAUUAUUUUCACGUUACAAAGUUUGACUGCCUGUUCUUGUACACAGAUGCAUGAUGGGGCAUCUUUUAAUACCUCAUUAAAGAAACAUCGUUUUAAAUCCUACCUUUUAUAAGUCUGGUUCCUAGGACAGGAAUUGCAUAAAAUAUUAUCCCAAUUUAAAGGUAUCUUUAGAGACAUAUUUCCCUGGGGUGGCUCACACCGUAUGUUGUUGCCCAAAAUGACUCCAACUUUGAGUUUCCAGUUUUAAGCCAACUUUCUGUUACAAAAGUUACAAAAUUUUAACCAUACUCAAUAACUUAUAAGCCAAUAAUCUAUAAUCAAGACAUGCAGAACAUAGUCAUACAUUUAGGACCAGUCAGAAACAAACAUGAAGUGGCUACACACAUUUACCUAUUUAGUCCAGACAGACAAAUUUUUCAUAUUUUUUUCUAGCUGUAAUUUCAAGGAAGGAAUGCCUUGUCACCUGCUGAACCCAAUAAUCAUAAUCACAGAGAUUUUUGUAGGAGAAACAGCCAUUGUCUCCCUUACCUGAGGAGCUGCUGGCCCCUUUAAGAGUGAUUUAUGAAUCACGGCAACAAUCAAGCAAGGAAACGAGACCACAGGUAUAAAUUAACAGACAUGGACAGACUGGAGCACCAAGGAUAGACAUUAGACAGAGAGGGAAGAACUAGAUGAUGUCCCACCAAAGGGACCCAGCACCAGGACUAGGCAUUUCCCCAGGGGAGCCAGAGAGGAGGCGGGAUGUCUCCUGAGCUCCUCCUGACCUUAGGAGAGGUCUGAAACAGCUUUCAUUCACGUUCCUUCUCUUUCACCGAAGUGUCCCUGGACAGUGGAGAUGACUGCUUUUCUGAAACCCACUUGUCCCUCUCAUGUCCAGGGCCUAAACUCUCUCUAGUUGAAAUCCAAAGGGUAAAAGCAUUUAUGGGAACUUUUUCAGGACCAUGUAUUGGAUAGGUAGUAACCUUUUACCCUCUCUCACACCUUCCCCCAUGUCUGCAAAUUUAUCAUACCUUCCUCAGGGAACCAGGGACAAAAUUUCUUCUAUAAAAAGCAAAAACCGGAGGGUUGGGGAUUUAGCUCAGUGGUAGAGCACUUACCUAGCAAGCCCAAGGCCCUGGGUUCGGUUCCCAGCUCCGAAAAAAAAAGAAAAAAGAAAAAAGAAAAAAGAAAGAAAAAACCGGGUAGGCCAUUUUUUACUUAUCUUCCCUUCUCUAGAUUUUAGCAUAUCUCUAAGCAUAUGAACAAAAAGCAUUCUACCAUUACCCUGUUCUGUUUUUACAGGGCUUACUCACUGCUGGCCCAAAUUUCCUUUAUUUUCCUGAGCACUUGCUUCCAGUUCCCAAGGUGUCCUUCACUGACCCUUUCCUACUCAAGCCCUCAUUGUGGUACCACCUGACCCAGCUCACUCUGUCAGUCAACAAGGUCUCGAGGGAAAGAGUAAGGAUUAAAGACAGAAAAGACAAUUAGACAACAUUGUAGCAUAACUCCAGCAAGCUCUGAAGCAAGUUUAUUAUUUCCCACACUGCUUUUACUCCAUGCUAAGUACACGCAAAACAUUGGGUCAGUUCUUGGUCAAAGACAAACAAGGCAUAAACAAAAGUCCCCUGGAUCACUGUAUCUGAGGACUUAUCAAGAAGAUCAAGAUACAAGGAACGCAUCCUCAGCUGUAUUUAUCUUGAGCCUACUCUCUUGUCCUAGCCCAAUGUCAAAUAUUCUUGCUGGUUUCCUUGAAGCGGCACCAAGAGCUCUCCACUUGCUUCGAACUGUCCACAGCAGCUGACUAUGAUUUGCCUCAUGCUCUAGCAGAAUCGUGGUUUUGCCAGCAGAUAAUUUCUAUGACUGUGUGAUGUUUGGAAUUCUGGGAACUUUUCAGAGGAUACAUAAAUGCUAAGGCCUUGAGAGGUGGGGUGGUGGUUGGGGGUUGUUUUAGGGAAGUUGUUUGCAGUUUGUUAAUAGCCAUGAUCAAGAAAGAAACAAAAAGGAAGAAAUUAGAUUCGGGGAUUUUCCUACUCCCUCCCUCCCCUCUAUCCUGCUUUCUCUCCUAUCUAGUGUUAGGGGUGAAACGGUGGGAGGAGACAAAGGGUUGGAAGAGAAGAAGCCACAGUGUAGCAAAGAGCAAUGCAAAAAGAGGAUCAGGAGCUCAAGGUUAUCUUUAGCUACAUAAGGACUUUGAAGUCAGCCUGGGCUACAUGAAGUUCUGUUUUUAGAAAAUCUGGGCCUUGUGGCACAGACUCAUAUUCCCAGCCAUAAGGAAAGCUGAGGCAGAAUGGUUACAAGCUCAACGCCCGCCUCAGCUCUGUGUCUAGCCAGUUCCAGCUCCAUUUCAAAAUAUAUAAGCAGUGGUGCACACCUUUAAUCCUGGCACUCAGGAGGCAGAGGCAAUCACAUCUUUGGGAAUUCAAGGCCAACCUGGUCUAUAGAGUGAACUCCAGGACAGGCAGGGCUGCACAGAAGAGACCCUGUCUCAUAAAAACUAAACCAAACAACUGAACAAGCUAUCACUGUAUAGCCCAAGGCUGGCUUCAAAGACAAGGUCUUUCUGCCUCAGGCUGCUAAUUGCUGGGGUCACAGGCUUGUAUCACACCUCCCACUGGUGGCUUUUUUUUUUAAUUUUUAAAAUUUUUUUUAUUUAUUUUAUGUGAUUACACUGUUGCUGUCUUCAGACACACCAGAAGAGGGCAUUGGAUCCCGUUACAGAUGGUUAUGAGCCAUCAUGUGGUUGCUGGAAAUUGAACUCGGGAAGAACAGCCAGUGCUCUUAACUGCUGAGCCGCCACUCCAGCCCACUGGUGGCAAUUUUUAAAAGGGCUCAGUUCACAUUGCUGUCCAGCAGAGGGCGCCAAAAGAAGGGCAAGAAGCUGAGACUGUCAGACAGACAAAUGGAUUGUGGACGCCAUAUCCCCUCCCUGGGUGCACAACAAAUCUGUACAAGACAGGGCUGGGAAAGACUGCAGCCUUUAGUUCUCUUCUGGUUUUGAGAUUUAUGCAUAGCCACAAUCCAACAGGAACGCCAGAAGGAGGAGGGCUCUGUGCUGGGGACCAGAGGCCUGACCAGGCAGCCUCGGCCACCGUUAAGCUUUUCCUCUCUAGCUGAUUGACCUAGGGGUCCCACCUGUUAGGAUGUGGCCUGGCUGCUCUCCCACCCUGUACUCAGGUGGUUUAUGGAUGGCCCCAGGUUCAGAAACUCAAAACAUAAAACAGCCUCCAGGGCUAGAUGGCAUCUCCACAGAGACUCCCUCCUUCCCAGCCCUGUGGGAGAAACUGUUCAGGUCCAGAAAUGCUCAGUGACCCAUGCUGCCUCUGUAGGAGGCCAGAUCCAGCUGGAAUGGAGCCCAGAGCCCUCUGCCCACAGCUUACCAGGUGCAUCUGAAGGAAGAGAAGCCCAGGCCUAUCACUGUCAAUCAGUCAGACCUUCCUUUCUGCUCUCCCCAAAGUCUCACUUCCCUGUCUGUCCCCCAAGGCUGUCGGCAUCACUAGGACACAUACUUCCAUGUCCUUCCAGGCCUCUCCCUGUGCUUCAAAUCAAGCUGGAAGCUCUGUCCAUGACCUUCAAACCCCUGAAGAAAAGCCCCUCUACCAGGCGUGGUGGUGCAUGGCUUUAAUCCCAGCACACAGGAGGUAGAAGCAAGCAGAUCUCUGAGGCCAGCCUGGUCUAUAGAGUGAGCUCCAGGACACACAGGAAAACCCUGUCUCAGAAAAAAAAAGAAAGAAAGAAAGAAAAGAA